RNAcentral lists this long non-coding RNA (309 nucleotides) under Manihot esculenta (cassava). RNAcentral describes it as "long non-coding RNA (MESC_LNC012151)". The record is from RNAcentral. Lineage: Eukaryota; Viridiplantae; Streptophyta; Magnoliopsida; Malpighiales; Euphorbiaceae.
CUUUUCUUUGAAUUUAGAUUUUCUGCUCUUUUCCCGCCUCUGCUGUAAAUUCUACUGUCAAGGUGAUUUGGGCAGUUUCUGCGAGUGAUUUGGGCAAAUCACUCGCCCAAUCUGCCCCAAUCGUUCUCUGGGAUUCAGUCCAGUUUCUGUCUCUGUCUCUGCGAGUGAUUUGACCAGUUUCUACAAGUGAUUUGGGCAAAUCAUUGACCCAAUCACUUCUGCCUGUUGCCUCCAGGUUUCUGCUUUAGCUUGAUUUGGGCAGUGAUUUGGGCAAAUCACUGACCCAAUCACUUUUCUGUUAUUUUCUGC